CCUUGCCCCAACCUCCGCUUUCUCCCUGCCCUCAGAUUCUCUUGCUCCAGGUUUGGUGGGCUGAUUACCACAGUUCUCACCUUUCUCUACCUGUUGGAGUGGAGGGGUCAGUGAAUCCAUGCUUCCGUAUUCUAAACUACUGUGUUUACAAAACUGGGUAGUGAUGAUACUUCUCCAUUGUUACACCAGUGACUGAUGGGUAUCGUAGACACAUCAACAAGGUAUCACACUGGUCCAUUACAUUGAUGAUAUUGUGCUGAUUGGGCCAAGUGAGCAGGAGGCAGCAACCACUCUGGAUUUGUUAGUAAAGCAUUUGAGAGCCAGAGGAUGAGAAAUAAAUUCAAUGAAAAUUCAAGAUCCUUCUACCUCAGUGGAAUUUCUAGGAGUCCAGUGGUGUGAGGCAUGUAGAGAUAUCCCUUCUAAGGUAAAAGAUUUCAAAUAUAGCAAUGCAGUCCUGAUGAAACCACAUGGCAGAAAGCUGCAUUUGAA
This is a long non-coding RNA of Heterocephalus glaber (naked mole-rat), 489 nucleotides long. Lineage: Eukaryota; Metazoa; Chordata; Mammalia; Rodentia; Bathyergidae. The record is from Ensembl.